CCUAACACAUGCAAGUCGAACGGGAAGCGGUGCAUAUUGCUUCGGUGAUAAUGUGCCGUGGAGAGUGGCGAACGGGUGCGUAACACGUAGGUAACCUGCCCUGAAAGGGGGGAUAACCACGGGAAACUGUGGCUAAUACCGUAUAAUCUCGCCGUGGCGGUGGUUACGGUGAGGAAAGCUGAGGCGAUUUGGGAGGGGCCUGCGGUCGAUUAGCUGGUUGGUGGGGUAAAGGCCCACCAAGGCGAUGAUCGAUAGCUGUUCUGAGAGGAAGACCAGCCACACGGGAACUGAGACACGGUUCCGACUCCUACGGGGGGCAGCAGUGAGGAAUAUUGCGCAAUGGGGGGAACCCUGACGCAGCAACGCCGCGUGGAGGACGAAGGUUUUCGGAUUGUAAACUCCUUAACUGGGGGAAGAGAGAGGACGGUACCCCAGGACGAAGACACGGCUAAC
RNAcentral lists this ribosomal RNA (453 nucleotides) under uncultured bacterium. RNAcentral's name for it is "bacterial SSU rRNA". It matches the Rfam family "Bacterial small subunit ribosomal RNA", at positions 47 to 501 of the family's 1533-position model. The record is from RNAcentral.